This 148-nucleotide ribosomal RNA is filed under the name Vararia abortiphysa. RNAcentral's name for it is "5.8S ribosomal RNA". It matches the Rfam family "5.8S ribosomal RNA". From Rfam's summary of the family: 5.8S ribosomal RNA (5.8S rRNA) is a component of the large subunit of the eukaryotic ribosome. It is transcribed by RNA polymerase I as part of the 45S precursor that also contains 18S and 28S rRNA. The record is from RNAcentral. Lineage: Eukaryota; Fungi; Basidiomycota; Agaricomycetes; Russulales; Lachnocladiaceae.
CAACUUUCAGCAACGGAUCUCUUGGCUCUCGCAUCGAUGAAGAACGCAGCGAAAUGCGAUAAGUAAUGUGAAUUGCAGAAUUCAGUGAAUCAUCGAAUCUUUGAACGCACCUUGCGCCCCUUGGUAUUCCGAGGGGCACGCCUGUUUG